RNAcentral lists this transfer RNA (70 nucleotides) under Gabronthus thermarum. RNAcentral describes it as "tRNA-Lys". Lineage: Eukaryota; Metazoa; Arthropoda; Insecta; Coleoptera; Staphylinidae. The record is from RNAcentral.
CAUUAGAUGGCUGAAAGUAAGUACUGGUCUCUUAAACCAUUUUAUAAUAGAUUAACAACUAUUUCUAAUG